Molecule: long non-coding RNA, 449 nt
Organism: Homo sapiens (human)
Lineage: Eukaryota; Metazoa; Chordata; Mammalia; Primates; Hominidae
Exons: 2
Source: RefSeq, a predicted model, not a curated record
AGACCAGUGGGCUAAUGUAGAAAUUAAAUCCUGCUAUUAAGAUUUAGUGAAAUUGUUUGGAUAAUUAAACAUUAAAGCCUGGAUUCCACACAACUUUUCAUAAACUAUAGAAGUGGCUUAACACCCUCAUCCUUUACUCACACAUAUCCUUCCACCCCUAGUAUGACUCAGAUAUUUCAUUGUCAAGGCCACAAAAACAAUGACUUCUUGUUCCAGAACAGAAAGAAAAGAGAGACCUAUCUUAGAAGUGAUUCGAAGGAGGGUGAAUCACCUUCAAAUUUACAGAGGUCUCGCCAUGUAAGGUUUCUGCAAUUAGGAGCCAUGAGUCAGAUCCAUCCCACUUCCAGUCUUACUUUUCUCUGUUUAGAAAACCAGAUAUUUUCAGAAAGGUGAAAUAAAUAGGACUGGUUCCAAAUUCAAUUGUGAAAUAAAGUUAGCUUAUGAUGGUU